GGUAAGGUGGCCGAGCAUAGGUGUCAGGCUGUAGUCCUGUUUACAGGGGCUUAAUUCCCUUUCUUACC
Molecule: transfer RNA, 68 nt
Filed under: Anolis vermiculatus
Lineage: Eukaryota; Metazoa; Chordata; Lepidosauria; Squamata; Anolidae
Description: tRNA-Tyr
Rfam family: tRNA
About the family: Transfer RNA (tRNA) molecules are approximately 80 nucleotides in length.
Source: RNAcentral